RNAcentral lists this long non-coding RNA (1293 nucleotides) under Pan troglodytes (chimpanzee). Its description in RNAcentral is "long non-coding RNA NONPTRT008788". The record is from RNAcentral. Lineage: Eukaryota; Metazoa; Chordata; Mammalia; Primates; Hominidae.
UGCCGGUCCAGCUGCUCCCGCGGGCCCACAGCGCGCUGUGGAAAGGAGCGGACAGGCCAGAGGCUCCCUCGGGCCUACAAGUCUAGGCUAGGCAGUGUUUCCGAGUCCCAGACGGAGCGACGGGGCCGGCCGCAGCCUCAGCCACGCGUCCCUCGGCGGCGGGCAGGCUCCUCUUGGCCUGCAGCCUUACUUUCAUGCCAUUCUUCACAGUCUCCUGGGAGAUUAAGAUGAGUGACCUAGAGGAGAAGGAUGUUGAUGAAUUCAGCUCCAGUGGUUUUAAGUGCCCAACAUGCUUUGCAGUGCAAGGAAGGAAAUGCAAUACAGAACUCAAAUGGUGUGCAGCAGAUAAAAUAAAGUGUAUUGAAUUCUCUGGCAUCAUAAACACAGUUUCUUGCAGGUAUUCGUGACGUAGCCAUUGAAAUGAGGAGAUGCAUACAAGCAGACCUAUGCAAAGAGAUAACUUCUUAGAUCGGUUUUCCAAUUGCUAACAAGAGUAGAAAUUGCAAAUCAGCCAUCAGAAAUGGGGCCAGAAUCAGACCCCCAUCUCCCAUCUUCUUUGUUCUUUUCCUGGGGAGGGUACUUCAUGGAGCUCUGGCAAGAGCCUAGCCACUUCCAUUUAUGAAUUAAACCUGCAUUUUUUUGUUAAUGUAUUCUUUCAUGAGUGUUAAUUUCUCCAUAGUUAUAUUCAGUUGUCCAUUUGUUUACUCAUUCAAUGAGUUUACUUGUUGUGUAUCCAGCCUUGCAUAAAGUGGGUUAGGGUCAAAGUGAAUCAGCUUUGGGUCCCUGCCUUUAAGGUCCCAAAGCAUUUAGAGAAUAAGGACGCGUGCAGUUAAAAUGCUUAGAAAGAAAUUUAAGAAGAACAUAAAAGAGCAGAAGCACUCUGCUUAAGGAGCCUGAGGGAUUGGUUUGGACAUAGGGUAAAAGUAGAAGACUGUGGGUUUGAUUAAGGAAAGAUUGGGAUUUUAGAUGGACUUUGAGGAGACCUUUACUAUAUGGCAGCAGAAAUAACGUGCACUGAGACAUGGACACGGGGAGAUGGGUGGAGGCUAAGAUGCAGUAGCUGAAAUUAACGGUAGGAGGAGUGGGGGAGAGGAAAAUGUCAGCAAGUAUAUGGGCCUGGCUGGAAGCAUCUUUCUGAGAGGGAUGGAAAGUGCUGCCCUGGAUGAACACAGUGGUCUCACUGAGCUGAGGACAGGCCAGCUCUGUGAUGGAAAACAGUUUCCUUCAAUCCACCAGAGAGAUGAUCAAAAGCCAAGGUCCCUGGUUCUCACUGCUGACUACUUUUUGUUUUGU